Molecule: ribosomal RNA, 164 nt
Filed under: uncultured bacterium
Lineage: Bacteria
Description: partial 16S rRNA
Rfam family: Bacterial small subunit ribosomal RNA
Source: RNAcentral
UAGGGAAUCUUCGGCAAUGGACGAAAGUCUGACCGAGCAACGCCGCGUGAGUGAAGAAGGUUUUCGGAUCGUAAAACUCUGUUGUUAGAGAAGAACAAGGGUGAGAGUAACUGUUCACCCCUUGACGGUAUCUAACCAGAAAGCCACGACUAACUACGUGCCAA